CCUACGGGAGGCAGCAGUGGGGAAUCUUGGACAAUGGGCGCAAGCCUGAUCCAGCAAUGCCGCGUGGGUGAAGAAGGCCUUCGGGUUGUAAAGCCCUUUCGGCGGGGAAGAAAUCGGUCAGGCGAAUAGUCUGGCUGGAUGACGGUACCCGCAGAAGAAGCACCGGCUAACUACGUGCCAGCAGCCGCGGUAAU
RNAcentral lists this ribosomal RNA (194 nucleotides) under uncultured bacterium. RNAcentral's name for it is "partial 16S ribosomal RNA". It matches the Rfam family "Bacterial small subunit ribosomal RNA", at positions 338 to 524 of the family's 1533-position model. The record is from RNAcentral.